UACGUAGGGACCCAGCGUUGUCCGGAAUCAUUGGGCGUAAAGCGCGCGUAGGUGGCCAUUUAAGUCCGCUGUGAAAGUCAAAGGCUCAACCUUUGAAAGCCGGUGGAUACUGGAUGGCUAGAGUACGGAAGAGGCGAGUGGAAUUCCUGGUGUAGCGGUGGAAUGCGCAGAUAUCAGGAGGAACACCAAUAGCGAAGGCAGCUCGCUGGGACGUUACUGACACUGAGGCGCGAAAGCGUGGGGAGCGAACAGG
This 253-nucleotide ribosomal RNA is filed under the name uncultured bacterium. RNAcentral's name for it is "partial 16S ribosomal RNA". It matches the Rfam family "Bacterial small subunit ribosomal RNA", at positions 524 to 776 of the family's 1533-position model. The record is from RNAcentral.